UUAACUCAAAUUUGUAUGCAGUUGGAACAGCGUCCCUAGCGGCAAACAUAGGCAAACGUUCCAACUCCAUUAAAAUUUGAGUUA
Molecule: microRNA precursor, 84 nt
Filed under: Bombyx mori (domestic silkworm)
Lineage: Eukaryota; Metazoa; Arthropoda; Insecta; Lepidoptera; Bombycidae
Description: mir-2807 microRNA precursor family
Rfam family: mir-2807 microRNA precursor family
Source: Rfam by way of RNAcentral